GAGACGGCAAUGACCGAAGACAUGAUCUCCGAUACCGGACGGCACAGAGAGGGAAGCCCAGGCUGCAAGCUUCCCCGGGAACCGGGCGUGGAUUACCCCUUCGCAGCCGUCCGCCGAAGCCCGCGCUGCGGGUGGGUAGGCGGCACCGGCCGAUCCCCGUUACCCGAUUCCAUGAGGACUCGCAGCUCCGCACGCAGGGCAUUUUUUCGCCUUUGCGCCUAGCGCCUGCUUGUCGAACAAGGGUGGAACCACGAGCUGAACGCACUCGUCCCUUUC
This 276-nucleotide small RNA is filed under the name Paenibacillus sp. P22. RNAcentral's name for it is "T-box leader". The record is from RNAcentral. Lineage: Bacteria; Bacillati; Bacillota; Bacilli; Caryophanales; Paenibacillaceae.